GAUGAACGCUGGCGGCGUGCCUAAUACAUGCAAGUCGAGCGAACAGACGAGGAGUUUGCUCCUCUGACGUUAGCGGCGGACGGGUGAGUAACACGUGGAUAACCUACCUAUAAGACUGGGAUAACUUCGGGAAACCGGAGCUAAUACCGGAUAAUAUAUUGAACCGCAUGGUUCAAUAGUGAAAGACGGUUUUGCUGUCACUUAUAGAUGGAUCCGCGCCGCAUUAGCUAGUUGGUAAGGUAACGGCUUACCAAGGCAACGAUGCGUAGCCGACCUGAGAGGGUGAUCGGCCACACUGGAACUGAGACACGGUCCAGACUCCUACGGGAGGCAGCAGUAGGGAAUCUUCCGCAAUGGGCGAAAGCCUGACGGAGCAACGCCGCGUGAGUGAUGAAGGUCUUCGGAUCGUAAAACUCUGUUAUUAGGGAAGAACAAAUGUGUAAGUAACUAUGCACGUCUUGACGGUACCUAAUCAGAAGGCCACGGCUAACUACGU
RNAcentral lists this ribosomal RNA (496 nucleotides) under uncultured bacterium. RNAcentral describes it as "partial 16S ribosomal RNA". It matches the Rfam family "Bacterial small subunit ribosomal RNA", at positions 28 to 506 of the family's 1533-position model. The record is from RNAcentral.